UUCCCCUAGUAACUGCGAGUGAAGCGGGAAGAGCUCAAAUUUAAAAUCUGGUAGUCUUUGGCUGCCCGAGUUGUAAUCUAGAGAAGCGUUAUCCGCGCUGGACCGUGUAUAAGUCUCCUGGAAUGGAGCGUCAUAGAGGGUGAGAAUCCCGUCUUUGACACGGACUACCAGGGCUUUGUGAUGCGCUCUCAAAGAGUCGAGUUGUUUGGGAAUGCAGCUCUAAAUGGGUGGUAAAUUCCAUCUAAAGCUAAAUAUUGGCGAGAGACCGAUAGCGAACAAGUACCGUGAGGGAAAGAUGAAAAGAACUUUGGAAAGAGAGUUAAACAGUACGUGAAAUUGUUGAAAGGGAAACGCUUGAAGUCAGUCGCGUUGUCCAGGGAUCAACCCUGCUUUUGCUCGGUGUACUUCCUGGUUUCAACGGGUCAGCAUCAAUUUUGAUCAGUGGAAAAAGAUCAAAGGAAUGUGGCAUCUUUGGAUGUGUUAUAGCCUUUGGUUGUAUACAUUGGUUGGGAUUGAGGAACUCAGCACGCCGCAAGGCCGGGUUUUUAACCACGUUCGUGCUUAGGAUGCUGGCAUAAUGGCUUUAAUC
RNAcentral lists this ribosomal RNA (589 nucleotides) under Leptonia ambigua. Its description in RNAcentral is "LSU rRNA". It matches the Rfam family "Eukaryotic large subunit ribosomal RNA", at positions 75 to 645 of the family's 3401-position model. Lineage: Eukaryota; Fungi; Basidiomycota; Agaricomycetes; Agaricales; Entolomataceae. The record is from RNAcentral.